AUACUUAGCUGGCAGUGGAGACACCAUGAUUAUUAAGAUGGUUUUCCCAGGGCAAGACCUACCUAUUGCACUUGCAGGUGCUGACCCCUUCAAUUUUCCCAAGUGUGGGAAACUCAACUGUUUAAUUUGUAGUUGGAGAGUGUUUGUGCCCCACUGG
Apodemus sylvaticus (European woodmouse) is the source of this 157-nucleotide small nuclear RNA. RefSeq annotates it as U1 spliceosomal RNA. The record is from RefSeq and is a predicted model, not a curated record. The transcript has a single exon. Lineage: Eukaryota; Metazoa; Chordata; Mammalia; Rodentia; Muridae.